AUGUUUGGUUAGCUUACGUGGUGAAAGCACACGACUGAAAAUCGUGGGAUAGUGGUUCGAAUCCACUACCAGACAUU
RNAcentral lists this transfer RNA (77 nucleotides) under Allomyces macrogynus. Its description in RNAcentral is "tRNA-Phe". It matches the Rfam family "tRNA". Rfam says of the family: Transfer RNA (tRNA) molecules are approximately 80 nucleotides in length. Their secondary structure includes four short double-helical elements and three loops (D, anti-codon, and T loops). Lineage: Eukaryota; Fungi; Blastocladiomycota; Blastocladiomycetes; Blastocladiales; Blastocladiaceae. The record is from RNAcentral.